UGGUUCUGGCAUCGAUGAAGAACGCAGCGAAAUGCGGUAAGUAAUGUGAAUUGCAGAAUUCAGUGAAUCAUCGAAUCUUUGAACGCACAUUGCGCCCGCCAGUAUUCUGGCGGGCAUGCCUGUCCGAGCGUCAUUUCAACCCUCGAACCCCUCCGGGGGAUCGGCGUUGGGGAUCGGGACCCCUCACCGGGUGCCGGCCCUGAAAUACAGUGGCGGUCUCGCCGCAGCCUCUCCUGCGCAGUAGUUUGCACAACUCGCACCGGGAGCGCGGCGCGUCCACGUCCGUAAAACACCCAACUUCUGAAAUGUUGACCUCGGAUCAGGUAGGAAUACCCGCUGA
RNAcentral lists this unclassified non-coding RNA (340 nucleotides) under uncultured fungus. RNAcentral's name for it is "partial contains 5.8S ribosomal RNA and internal transcribed spacer 2". The stretch from base 1 to 133 matches the Rfam family "5.8S ribosomal RNA", at positions 22 to 154 of the family's 154-position model. Lineage: Eukaryota; Fungi. The record is from RNAcentral.